GAUUAAAUGGCUGAAAUAUAGGCGGUAGACUGUAAAUUUAUUUAUAAGAAUUAUUCUUUUUAAUCA
RNAcentral lists this transfer RNA (66 nucleotides) under Episyrphus balteatus (marmalade hoverfly). RNAcentral's name for it is "tRNA-Tyr". RNAcentral also lists the same sequence under 1 other name. The record is from RNAcentral. Lineage: Eukaryota; Metazoa; Arthropoda; Insecta; Diptera; Syrphidae.